CGCUGCCUCUGAAAUCCCUCUCCUCUCCAAAUUCUCUCUAACCCUCUCAAAAUCCUAGCUUCUCUCACCGUCUUGUACCUUAAGCUCACCGGAAAUCAUGGCUACUCUGGCCAUGAUAACCUCAUACCCUCCCUCUAUUACUCUUGUGUGUUUGAUAUUUGAAGAAUCAGGGCCUUGACCUCGAUGGUUCCCUUUCAGAUCUUCUUAGAUCUGUAGAUCUAUGGUUUCUCGGCCAUUACUCUGGCAUAUUCAAGCAAUAUGAGUGUUUUUGACUCAGGAUCGGACUUUUCUCAAGACCUUUCUCAUUUCUAGGUUUUCUCUGCAAUCCUAAGCUGUUCGAAGUUAUUUACUUGCUUACUUUCUUAGAUCUAGAACAUAUCUAUGUUCUAUCGAGCUUUUUAAAGGUUUUCCUCAAACUCUCUUUUAAAAAAAUUGCUUCUCUUCGAAUUAGGGUUUUCUGAAAGAUUUAAAAUGUUUAUCCGACUUUUCUUUUCCCUUUAUUUGUGUGUAUUUGUUUGCUACUGCUUUCAUAUGUUUCCUUUUACCAUACGUGUUCUUCUGUUCUUCUAUAUCUUUUGUUUUCCUACUGUAUUUCUAUACCAUGCUCACAUGUUUGUCUCACUAUGUUGCUUUCAUAUGUUUCCUUUUACCACACGUGUUCUUCUGUGCUUCUAUAUCGUUUUCCUACUAUGUUUCUAUAUCAUGCUCACAUGUUUAUCUCACUAUGUUUUCCUAUAUGCUCUUUGCUAUACUUUUCCAGUGUUCUUGUAUUCUCCUACUGUAUUUCUUUUACUAAGUCCUUAAGUCCCUUCUGAAAGGUUUCUUAAACAUGUUUCUUCUACUAUCAUGUUGCUCUUUUAUUGUGCUUUGAGUUAGUUCCUUCACUCUGUUUGCUUAGAAUUUUCAAUUGUACUUGCUUGUCUUCUCAUGAGAUUCUGAAAUGUCUGAGCAUGUUGCUCCUCAUCUCUGUAUUUGGACUCGAGAUGGAAACCCUAGAAUUUGAGGUUCCCACCAAGUUUGAUCAUGUGAUUGAAUUAGGGUUCUGUUUGAGAACCCUUGACUCCUUAGACUAAUCUCUGAGCCUAUGAACCGG
This 1093-nucleotide long non-coding RNA is filed under the name Nicotiana benthamiana. RNAcentral's name for it is "long non-coding RNA (NBEN_LNC016000)". The record is from RNAcentral. Lineage: Eukaryota; Viridiplantae; Streptophyta; Magnoliopsida; Solanales; Solanaceae.